UCCGGUUUGUCACUGGCAGUCCCAUUAGAGUGCCCAACUGAAUGUGGCAACUAAUGGCAAGGGUUGCGCUCGUUGCGGGACUUAACCCAACAUCUCACGGCACGAGCUGACGACGACCAUGCACCACCUGUGUACGGCCCCUAAGGACACCACAUCUCUGUGGCUUUUCCGUACAUUUCAAGCCUUGGUAAGGUUCUUCGCGUUGCUUCGAAUUAAACCACAUGCUCCACCGCUUGUGCGGGCCCCCGUCAAUUCCUUUGAGUUUCAGCCUUGCGGCCGUACUCCCCAGGCGGGGCACUUAACGCGUUAGCUGCGGCACCGAAGGGGUCGCUCCCCCCGGCACCUAGUGCCCAUCGUUUACGGCGUGGACUAC
This 373-nucleotide unclassified non-coding RNA is filed under the name uncultured bacterium. RNAcentral's name for it is "contains 16S-23S intergenic spacer region". The record is from RNAcentral.